AUGUUUACGUGUAAAAUAGUUACA
Molecule: small nuclear RNA, 24 nt
Filed under: Brassica rapa (field mustard)
Lineage: Eukaryota; Viridiplantae; Streptophyta; Magnoliopsida; Brassicales; Brassicaceae
Description: S52-Smi snRNA
Source: RNAcentral